This 1018-nucleotide ribosomal RNA is filed under the name Hirsutella thompsonii. RNAcentral describes it as "SSU rRNA". It matches the Rfam family "Eukaryotic small subunit ribosomal RNA", at positions 77 to 1106 of the family's 1831-position model. Lineage: Eukaryota; Fungi; Ascomycota; Sordariomycetes; Hypocreales; Ophiocordycipitaceae. The record is from RNAcentral.
UACAGCGAAACUGCGAAUGGCUCAUUAUAUAAGUUAUCGUUUAUUUGAUAGUACCUUACUACUUGGAUAACCGUGGUAAUUCUAGAGCUAAUACAUGCUGAAAAUCCCGACUUCGGAAGGGAUGUAUUUAUUAGAUUCAAAACCAAUGCCCUCUGGGCUCACUGGUGAUUCAUGAUAACUCUUCGAAUCGCAUGGCCUUGCGCCGGCGAUGGUUCAUUCAAAUUUCUUCCCUAUCAACUUUCGAUGUUUGGGUAGUGGCCAAACAUGGUUGCAACGGGUAACGGAGGGUUAGGGCUCGACCCCGGAGAAGGAGCCUGAGAAACGGCUACUACAUCCAAGGAAGGCAGCAGGCGCGCAAAUUACCCAAUCCCGACACGGGGAGGUAGUGACAAUAAAUACUGAUACAGGGCUCUUUUGGGUCUUGUAAUUGGAAUGAGUACAAUUUAAAUCCCUUAACGAGGAACAAUUGGAGGGCAAGUCUGGUGCCAGCAGCCGCGGUAAUUCCAGCUCCAAUAGCGUAUAUUAAAGUUGUUGUGGUUAAAAAGCUCGUAGUUGAACCUUGGGCCUGGCUGGCCGGUCCGCCUCACCGCGUGUACUGGUCCGGCCGGGCCUUUCCCUCUGUGGAACCCCAUGCCCUUCACUGGGUGUGGCGGGGAAACAGGACUUUUACUUUGAAAAAAUUAGAGUGCUCCAGGCAGGCCUAUGCUCGAAUACAUUAGCAUGGAAUAAUGAAAUAGGACGCGCGGUUCUAUUUUGUUGGUUUCUAGGACCGCCGUAAUGAUUAAUAGGGACAGUCGGGGGCAUCAGUAUUCAAUUGUCAGAGGUGAAAUUCUUGGAUUUAUUGAAGACUAACUACUGCGAAAGCAUUUGCCAAGGAUGUUUUCAUUAAUCAGGAACGAAAGUUAGGGGAUCGAAGACGAUCAGAUACCGUCGUAGUCUUAACCAUAAACUAUGCCGACUAGGGAUCGGACGAUGUUAUUUUUUGACUCGUUCGGCACCUUACGAGAAAUCAAAGUGC